RNAcentral lists this ribosomal RNA (472 nucleotides) under uncultured bacterium. Its description in RNAcentral is "bacterial SSU rRNA". It matches the Rfam family "Bacterial small subunit ribosomal RNA", at positions 355 to 825 of the family's 1533-position model. The record is from RNAcentral.
UGGGGAAUAUUGGACAAUGGGGGGAACCCUGAUCCAGCAAUGCCGCGUGUGUGAAGAAGGCCUGAGGGUUGUAAAGCACUUUCAGAGGGGAGGAGGACUAUUAGGUUAAGAGCUAGAUAGUUGGACGUUACCCUCAGAAGCAGCACCGGCUAACUCCGUGCCAGCAGCCGCGGUAAUACGGGGGGUGCAAGCGUUAAUCGGAAUUAUUGGGCGUAAAGGGUGUCGAGGCGGUUGUAUUAGUCGUUCGUAAAAUCUACGAGCUUAACUUGUAGGCGGCGAACGAAACGGUACGACUUGAGGUUUGGAGAGGUGCGUGGAACUCACGGUGUAGGGGUGAAAUCCGUUGAUAUCGUGGGGAACACCAAAGGCGAAGGCAGCGCACUGGCCAAAAUCUGACGCUCACACACGAAAGCUAGGGUAGCGAAGAGGAUUAGAUACCCCAGUAGUCCCUGAGCGGGCUGGCAAGGCGCAU